Molecule: long non-coding RNA, 255 nt
Organism: Syngnathus acus (greater pipefish)
Lineage: Eukaryota; Metazoa; Chordata; Actinopteri; Syngnathiformes; Syngnathidae
Exons: 3
Source: RefSeq, a predicted model, not a curated record
AGUUUGAACGUUUAGUUUAUUUUUGGUUACAAAAAAAAAUCUCUGACUGCUAUCAAGUGCUGUGGAACAAGGUCAAGAUGUACUUCAUUGCCUUCCCAACAUCAUAUUUAGUAGAACGGGGCUUCAGUGCAGUCACCUUGCUUCUUUCCAAGCAAAGAAACCGACUGAAAAUUACUGACCGCGGGGAUCUACGACUUCUUCUUAGUGAGUUCCAGCCUGAUGUUGAGAAGCUUAUGUCCCUGCACCAAGCACAUC